This 440-nucleotide ribosomal RNA is filed under the name uncultured bacterium. RNAcentral describes it as "partial 16S ribosomal RNA". It matches the Rfam family "Bacterial small subunit ribosomal RNA", at positions 338 to 795 of the family's 1533-position model. The record is from RNAcentral.
CCUACGGGAGGCAGCAGUGGGGAAUAUUGCACAAUGGGGGAAACCCUGAUGCAGCAACGCCGCGUGAAGGAAGACGGUUUUCGGAUCGUAAACUUCUGUUCUUAGUGAAGAAUAAUGACGGUAGCUAAAGAGCAAGACACGGCAAACUACUUGCCAGCAGCCGAGGUAAUACGUAGGUGGCAAGCGUUGUCCGGAAUUACUGGGUGGAAAGGGAGCGCAGGCGGGUAGCCAAGUCAGCUGUGAAAACUACGGGCUUAACUUGAAGACUGCAGUUGAAACUGGUUUUCUGGAGUGAAGUAGAGGUAGGCGGAAUUCCGGGGGUAGCGGUGAAAUGCGUAGAUAUUCGGAGGAACACCGGGGGCGAAGGCGGCCAACUGGGCUUUAACUGACGCUGGGGCUCGAAAGUGUGGGGAGCAAACAGGAUUAGAUACCCUGUAGUC